Molecule: ribosomal RNA, 429 nt
Filed under: Vibrio sp. P5-7
Lineage: Bacteria; Pseudomonadati; Pseudomonadota; Gammaproteobacteria; Vibrionales; Vibrionaceae
Description: bacterial SSU rRNA
Rfam family: Bacterial small subunit ribosomal RNA
Source: RNAcentral
AGCGGAAACGAGUUAUCUGAACCUUCGGGGGACGAUAACGGCGUCGAGCGGCGGACGGGUGAGUAAUGCCUAGGAAAUUGCCCUGAUGUGGGGGAUAACCAUUGGAAACGAUGGCUAAUACCGCAUAAUGCCUACGGGCCAAAGAGGGGGACCUUCGGGCCUCUCGCGUCAGGAUAUGCCUAGGUGGGAUUAGCUAGUUGGUGAGGUAAUGGCUCACCAAGGCGACGAUCCCUAGCUGGUCUGAGAGGAUGAUCAGCCACACUGGAACUGAGACACGGUCCAGACUCCUACGGGAGGCAGCAGUGGGGAAUAUUGCACAAUGGGCGCAAGCCUGAUGCAGCCAUGCCGCGUGUGUGAAGAAGCCUUCGGGUUGUAAAGCACUUUCAGUCGUGAGGAAGGUAGUGUAGUUAAUAGCUGCAUUAUUUGACG